UACGUAGGGGGCAAGCGUUGUCCGGAUUAUUGGGCGUAAAGAGCGUGUAGGCGGCCAGGUAGGUCAGCUGUGAAAACUCGAGGCUCAACCUCGAGACGCCGGUUGAAACCAUCUGGCUAGAGUCCGGAAGAGGAGAGUGGAAUUCCGUGGUGUAGCGGUGAAAUGCGUAGAGAUGUGGAGGAACACCGAUGGCGAAGGCAGCCUCCUGGGCCAACACGUGACGCUCAUGCACGAAAGCGUGGGGAGCAAACAGG
Molecule: ribosomal RNA, 254 nt
Filed under: uncultured bacterium
Lineage: Bacteria
Description: partial 16S ribosomal RNA
Rfam family: Bacterial small subunit ribosomal RNA
Source: RNAcentral